AGAGUUUGAUCCUGGCUCAGAUUGAACGCUGGCGGCAUGCCUUACACAUGCAAGUCGAACGGCAGCACGGGGGCAACCCUGGUGGCGAGUGGCGAACGGGUGAGUAAUAUAUCGGAACGUGCCCUGGAGUGGGGGAUAACUAGUCGAAAGAUUAGCUAAUACCGCAUACGAUCUACGGAUGAAAGUGGGGGACCCGCAAGGGCCUCAUGCUCCUGGAGCGGCCGAUAUCUGAUUAGCUAGUUGGUGAGGUAAAGGCUCACCAAGGCAUCGAUCAGUAGCUGGUCUGAGAGGACGACCAGCCACACUGGGACUGAGACACGGCCCAGACUCCUACGGGAGGCAGCAGUGGGGAAUUUUGGACAAUGGGCGCAAGCCUGAUCCAGCAAUGCCGCGUGAGUGAAGAAGGCCUUCGGGUUGUAAAGCUCUUUUUGUCAGGGAAGAAAACGGU
RNAcentral lists this ribosomal RNA (448 nucleotides) under uncultured Glaciimonas sp. RNAcentral describes it as "bacterial SSU rRNA". It matches the Rfam family "Bacterial small subunit ribosomal RNA", at positions 8 to 455 of the family's 1533-position model. The record is from RNAcentral. Lineage: Bacteria; Pseudomonadati; Pseudomonadota; Betaproteobacteria; Burkholderiales; Oxalobacteraceae.